CCCAGACCAGCAGAGGCAGGGGACGUAACAGAAGUAAUAGAAAAGCCUGAAAAUGAAGGUCAUAUGAAAGGGAGACUGCAGUGCGCCUCCUACGUGAUGCUUUGGUUCACUUUUUCCGAGGAGUCCUAACUAAGCAUAUCAAAAUACCUUAUAGACACAAAAAGUGGAUCAGGAGGAAAGAGAGCGCGGAUCAGGAAAUAAAGGUGCUACCUCUUGUGUCUGACCUUGAGAUGACCUUGGAACCAGAUGGUUGUGGGCUCUAAUCCCAGUACUGAUUUCAGAGAGUGUGGACGUCUCCCCCACCGGCUGGCUUAUCUGCAGUCCGCCUGGGCGUGACUGGAGGGUAGGAUGAAGCCUUUUUUUUUCUCUGCUGCAUCUUUGCCAUGCUGCACAGGAAUACACUAAUGCUCACGGCUAAGACCUGCUGAGCAAAAUCUGGAUUAUUCAUGAAAAAAGAAAGCUCGUGGAUCAGAAACUGGCUGACAGUAAAACAGUGUCUGACAUCAGACAAAGCGUGCUUGCUGAAAACAAUAUUCACCACU
This is a long non-coding RNA of Anguilla rostrata (American eel), 542 nucleotides long. RefSeq lists it as uncharacterized. Lineage: Eukaryota; Metazoa; Chordata; Actinopteri; Anguilliformes; Anguillidae. The transcript is spliced from 4 exons. The record is from RefSeq and is a predicted model, not a curated record.